UAUAUCGGUAAACUAUUACGGAAACAUAUGGACUUUGGUAUUAUUCCAAAUUAGAUGACAUUUUAUCUAUUUACAUAUAUUAAAUACUACAGCUAUUUUUUUCUUCAUUGUCGAAAUUAAAUAUUUAGUGUCUAAGUGUUAAUAUUCGUUUGGACUACACGUGGUGUAAUUUAAGAAUGAAACCCAAAUCAUAUUUUUCAUAAGUGGCAUUCUGAUUUUCAUCAGGUAUUGUGCCGCAGUUAAUCCGAUCAAUUGAAAAUGCAAGACAUCUCUUCUUAUCUCACAGUAUCAUCUGACAUCCUUUGGAUGCAGUUCCCCAGGAGGCCCAGGCCCCUCAUGGACCCCGUGAUCAU
Polypterus senegalus (gray bichir) is the source of this 353-nucleotide long non-coding RNA. RefSeq lists it as uncharacterized. The transcript is spliced from 3 exons. The record is from RefSeq and is a predicted model, not a curated record. NCBI's taxonomy places the organism in Eukaryota, Metazoa, Chordata, Cladistia, Polypteriformes, Polypteridae.